Molecule: ribosomal RNA, 254 nt
Filed under: uncultured bacterium
Lineage: Bacteria
Description: partial 16S ribosomal RNA
Rfam family: Bacterial small subunit ribosomal RNA
Source: RNAcentral
UACAGAGGGUGCGAGCGUUAAUCGGAAUUACUGGGCGUAAAGCGUGCGUAGGCGGUUGUGCAAGACAGAUGUGAAAUCCCCGGGCUUAACCUGGGAACUGCAUUUGUGACUGCACGGCUAGAGUGUGUCAGAGGGGGGUAGAAUUCCACGUGUAGCAGUGAAAUGCGUAGAUAUGUGGAGGAAUACCGAUGGCGAAGGCAGCCCCCCUGGGAUAACACUGACGCUCAUGCACGAAAGCGUGGGUAGCAAACAGG